AGGAGGCUCAUGGUUCUCACCCCCUUCCAUAGACUUAUGCAGUAAUUAUGACAACUUCCGGACGAUGUCCUCCAACCUAUCAGAGCUCUUGCAGCAUGAACUAACAUGUUGUCCACCCAAUCAAAGGAUCAGAGAAUGAAUCUAGUACUGAAAGCAUAAGCUACAGCUAGCUAGCACUGCAGUGCAUAAAAUGUGCUGAGUAGUUGACUCAAAGAGAGAGAAAGACAAUAGUUGAACAGUUUAGAACAAAUACAUUUCUUCAAAAAUGAAGGAGAAGAAAGAGAGCUGGAGAGUGAGAGCUAGCUAUAUUUUGUAUUUUUUAAAGUUUCACUUUCACUUACUUAACUAGCAAAUGCAGCUAGCUAGUUUAGCCUACUCAUACACCCGGCUCAAAAAGAGAGGGAUGCUAUGUUACCUAGCUGGUAAUGGCUAUCCAACACUGGAACUCUUCCAAGUCAAGGCCAACAAGAUGUUCAACCCGAUGACUGUAUAAAUAAAUGGACAAAGCCAUCGAUCACGUGACACCAUUCGUUCCUAUGUGAAGACUCAACAGCGCAUUGAAACCAAAUGAGGACCUGAGCCCUAGGACCAUGCCUCAGGACUACCUGACAUGAUGACUCCUUGCUGUCCCCAGUCCACCUGGCCGUGCUGCUGCUCCAUUUUCAACUGUUCUGCCUGCGGCUAUGGAACCCUGACCUGUUCACCGGACGUGCUACCUGUCCCAGACCUGCUGUUUUCAACUCUCUAGAGACAGCAGGAGCGGUAGAGAUACUCUCAAUGAUCGGCUAUGAAAAGCCAACUGACAUUUACUCUUGAGGUGUUGACUUGUUACACCCUCGACAACUGUGAAUAUUAUUAUUUGACCAUGCUGGUCAUUUAUGAACAUUUGAACAUCUUGGCCAUGUGCUGUUAUAAUCUCCACCCAGCACAGCCAGAAGAGGACUGGCCACCCCUCAUAGCCUCGUUCCUCUCUAGGUUUCUUCCUAGGUUUUGGCCUUUCUAGGGAGUUUUUCCUAGCCACCGUGCUUCUACACCUCCAUUGCUUGCUGUUUGGGGUUUUAGGCUGGGUUUCUGUACAGUACUUUGAGAUAUCAGCUGAUGUAAGAAGGGCUAUAUAAAUACAUUGAUUUGAUAACAAUCUAAUAUAUUGAAGAGAAAUUAGAAAAAUUGCAAUAAAACGGUGGUCCUUCUCCCUAAAUUUCAGCACUGCAUUUGAAAGAGCAGCCCCUUCUCUGCCUUACUCAAUCACCCACACAACUGACAAACACAACUGCAUCUCUCUCUUUCUCCAUAUCCCUCCUACCCUCCCUCACAUCACCUCCUCAUUGCGCUCUGCUUCUAUAAUUCAAAUUCUGUCAGCCUUGUUCCAGACUGCUGGCGCCAGCCUCUCUCUCCAAGACAAAAAAAAGAAGCGAGCAAGAGCGAGGGAGGGAGGGAGGGGGGAAAGGCAGAAGAAAAGAAAGCUGUGUGAGAGACAAAGCCGACGGAGCCACACACACAGCAAGAUGGAGCCGAGAAAGAAGUAGACAGGGAGUUUUGAUAAAGCCAGCUACGAGAUCUGAUUUUUCAGGGCCCAAUAUGCCUAUUUUCCGUUUUCUGCCUCCCAUUUCUCUCUUUUUCCACUCAUUUCCAUUCCUUUUGUUUUACUAAUUGUCUCUCCCUUUGACCUGCCCCCUCUGCUGCCUUCACUGGUUAAAAGCAAUAAAAUAUUAUCCCCC
Molecule: long non-coding RNA, 1718 nt
Filed under: Salmo salar (Atlantic salmon)
Lineage: Eukaryota; Metazoa; Chordata; Actinopteri; Salmoniformes; Salmonidae
Description: lncRNA (ENSSSAG00000085256.1)
Source: RNAcentral